AUACCGUUCGCCUAGCGGCUCAGGGCAGCACCCUUUCAAGGUGCCAUUCACGGGUUCGAAUCCCGUACGGUAUGCCA
RNAcentral lists this transfer RNA (77 nucleotides) under Pseudomonadota bacterium. RNAcentral describes it as "tRNA-Glu". It matches the Rfam family "tRNA". Rfam says of the family: Transfer RNA (tRNA) molecules are approximately 80 nucleotides in length. Lineage: Bacteria; Pseudomonadati; Pseudomonadota. The record is from RNAcentral.